RNAcentral lists this long non-coding RNA (970 nucleotides) under Serinus canaria (Common canary). Its description in RNAcentral is "lncRNA (ENSSCAG00000011262.1)". The record is from RNAcentral. Lineage: Eukaryota; Metazoa; Chordata; Aves; Passeriformes; Fringillidae.
UGGUGCUUUCAGACCCCACCUGCCAGCCUGUGCCUUGUGCUGGAGGUUGUUGUGCCUUGGCACUGCAGGGAAUGAAUGUCCCCUUCCCCUUUCAGCCCAGCAGAUUCCAAAGGCUCUUACAGGAAUAUUUAUCCUUUAGUUCCCUGUGUGAUAACUGAAUCUCCCCCUGCUGUGAGCCAUUCCUUGAGUUCUCCUGGAGAAAACCUCAUGGCAGAGGAGUUUGCAAAGAGCCCAGAGCUGUGUUUGGAGCAGAGAGAGCUGAGAGCUGCGUCUGCCUGUGCUGCCCCAGCCUGGCAACAUCCUCAUGGAACAGCCUGGGCAGAUGGGAUUAGAUGGAGCAAAAUCCCUUCAUGCAAGAGGUUUUCUCCUGUGCAGCUCAGGCACGGGGCAGGCAGUGAACUUUGGAAAUCAGCUGAUUUCCCCAGAAAGCAUCACUCCCUCAGCAUGAAUGACAGGACCUGUGCCCACUGCUCAGGAGUCACCCAGCCAAAAUCAAGGGCAAAGAUGCUGGAAUUGCCUCCCUGGAUGUGCACUGAGCUCUUGCUGCAGGGAACUGCCAGGCCUUAAUGGUGGUGAGUUCAUGUUCUUCUCACUGGGGAAUUGGAAAUAAUUAUUAAUUAGUAAUUGCAGAAAUGUUUUCUGAAACCUUUCCUCUUUGCUGGUAGAUCUUCUCUUUCUGCCUUGGAAAUUACAGCUGUUCCCUGCUGUCCUUUGCCCUGCCUGAAUUCCCUGCAGCUCCACUGGGAAAACCUGGGAUAACUCAGAGGGAACAGAGGUGACAUUUUUAGCUGAAAACCUGGGGCAGUUGAGAGGGGACACAAGAACUGUUUGUGUAGGAAAAUGAGAGAGGAUGUCAAGGGGAGCAAGGUGGCAUUUUUGAGGGAAAAGCUGAGGUGAUGAUUAGGGGAGAGAAUGCAAAUUUUUGGAGUAGAAAAGAGCUAAUCAGUAUUGUACUGGAAGGAAAAUUUUG